CCAAUAGCGUAUAUUAAAGUUGUUGCAGUUAAAAAGCUCGUAGUUGAAUUUCGGGAUCAAUAUAUCGGUCGUGCCAUCGGUACGUACUGGUAUGAUUGGUUUCUCCUUUCUGACGAACCAUGAUGUCAUUAAUUUGGUGUUAUGGGAAGUUAGGACUGUUACUUUGAAAAAAUUAGAGUGUUUAAAGCAGGCUUUGGCUUGAAUACAUUAGCAUGGAAUAAUGAAAUAGGACGUUUGAUUCUAUUUUGUUGGUUUCUAGGAUCGACGUAAUGAUUAAUAGGGAUAGUUGGGGGCAUUAGUAUUCAAUUGUCAGAGGUGAAAUUCUUGGAUUUAUUGAAGACUAACUACUGCGAAAGCAUUUGCCAAGGAUGUUUUCAUUAAUCAAGAACGAAAGUUAGGGGAUCGAAGACGAUCAGAUACCGUCGUAGUCUUAACCAUAAACUAUGCCGACUAGGGAUCGGAUGAUGUUAAUUUUUUAAUGACUCAUUCGGCGCCUUACG
This 500-nucleotide ribosomal RNA is filed under the name uncultured Glomus. Its description in RNAcentral is "SSU rRNA". It matches the Rfam family "Eukaryotic small subunit ribosomal RNA", at positions 591 to 1092 of the family's 1831-position model. Lineage: Eukaryota; Fungi; Glomeromycota; Glomeromycetes; Glomerales; Glomeraceae. The record is from RNAcentral.